RNAcentral lists this small nuclear RNA (107 nucleotides) under Jaculus jaculus (lesser Egyptian jerboa). The record is from RNAcentral. Lineage: Eukaryota; Metazoa; Chordata; Mammalia; Rodentia; Dipodidae.
GCGCUCACUUCGGCAGCACAUCUACUAAAACUGGAAUGGUACAGAGAAGAUUAGCAUGGCCCCUGUACAAGGAUGGCAUGCAAAUUCGUGAAGCAUUCCAUAUUUGG